Molecule: long non-coding RNA, 243 nt
Organism: Gracilinanus agilis (Agile Gracile Mouse Opossum)
Lineage: Eukaryota; Metazoa; Chordata; Mammalia; Didelphimorphia; Didelphidae
Exons: 4
Source: RefSeq, a predicted model, not a curated record
AGGGCGAGAAGGGAAGUCCUGGCACCCCUGGCCUGCCUGGAUUCCUGGGCCAGAAGGGAGAAAAAGGAGAUUCAGGCAAUGGCAUUGGAGGAGGCCGAGGGGAACCAGGGCCCCCAGGAAUACCAGGACCACCAGGACCAAAGGGAGAAGCUGGCACUAGUGGUCAGACCGGGCCUCCUGGGAGGCAGGGAGAUAAGGGGGAGAUCGGAGCACCCGGAGAACAGGGACCCAUUGGCCCAAAGG